GGGAGCUAACACAUGCAGCCGAGCGGUAGAGAUCUUUCGGGAUCUUGAGAGCGGCGUACGGGUGCGGAACACGUGUGCAACCUGCCUUUAUCUGGGGGAUAGCCUUUCGAAAGGAAGAUUAAUACCCCAUAAUAUAUCGACUGGCAUCAGUUGAUAUUGAAAACUCCGGUGGAUAGAGAUGGGCACGCGCAAGAUUAGAUAGUUGGUGAGGUAACGGCUCACCAAGUCUGCGAUCUUUAGGGGGCCUGAGAGGGUGAUCCCCCACACUGGUACUGAGACACGGACCAGACUCCUACGGGAGGCAGCAGUGAGGAAUAUUGGACAAUGGGUGAGAGCCUGAUCCAGCCAUCCCGCGUGAAGGACGACGGCCCUAUGGGUUGUAAACUUCUUUUGUAUAGGGAUAAACCUAGAUACGUGUAUCUAGCUGAAGGUACUAUACGAAUAAGCACCGGCUAACUCCGUGCCAGCAGCCGCAGGUAAUACAA
Molecule: ribosomal RNA, 485 nt
Filed under: bacterium SNB-CN4
Lineage: Bacteria
Description: bacterial SSU rRNA
Rfam family: Bacterial small subunit ribosomal RNA
Source: RNAcentral